Molecule: ribosomal RNA, 305 nt
Filed under: uncultured bacterium
Lineage: Bacteria
Description: partial 16S ribosomal RNA
Rfam family: Bacterial small subunit ribosomal RNA
Source: RNAcentral
ACAGCAGUCGCCACGGGAAAACGGAGGGUGCAAGCGUUAUCCGGAUUUAUUGGGUUUAAAGGGUCCGUAGGCGGACUUAUAAGUCAGUGGUGAAAGCCUGUCGCUUAACGAUAGAACUGCCAUUGAUACUGUAAGUCUUGAGUAUAUUUGAGGUAGCUGGAAUAAGUAGUGUAGCGGUGAAAUGCAUAGAUAUUACUUAGAACACCAAUUGCGAAGGCAGGUUACCAAGAUAUAACUGACGCUGAGGGACGAAAGCGUGGGUAGCGAACAGGAUUAGAUACCCCCGUAGUCCCUGUCUCUUAUAC